RNAcentral lists this small nucleolar RNA (125 nucleotides) under Sorex araneus (European shrew). Its description in RNAcentral is "Small nucleolar RNA SNORA32 (ENSSARG00000018795.1)". The record is from RNAcentral. Lineage: Eukaryota; Metazoa; Chordata; Mammalia; Eulipotyphla; Soricidae.
UGGCGAUCACCAAGCUACAUUUAGAGUGCAGUUUCUCAGUUGCCAUGGGCACGACCUUAAAGAAUGUUUCCCACAGGUCUGUCAUCUCCUACACCAUGCCAGACUCCCACCUACCGAGCACCCUG